UGCUAAUCCUAGAAAAUUCUUCGUAGUCCGGAUUGGAGUCUGCAACUCGACUCCAUGAAGUCGGAAUCGCUAGUAAUCGCGAAUCAGCAUGUCGCGGUGAAUACGUUCUCGGGUCUUGUACACACCGCCCGUCACACCAUGGAAGUGGAUUGCACCAGAAGUAGAUAGUCUAACCUUCGGGAGGGCGUUUACCACGGUGUGCUUCAUGACUGGGGUGAAGUCGUAACAAGGUAGCCGUAGGGGAACCUGUGGCUGGAUCACCUCCUU
RNAcentral lists this ribosomal RNA (267 nucleotides) under uncultured SAR86 cluster bacterium. RNAcentral describes it as "partial 16S ribosomal RNA". It matches the Rfam family "Bacterial small subunit ribosomal RNA", at positions 1266 to 1532 of the family's 1533-position model. The record is from RNAcentral. Lineage: Bacteria; Pseudomonadati; Pseudomonadota; Gammaproteobacteria.